RNAcentral lists this ribosomal RNA (465 nucleotides) under uncultured bacterium. Its description in RNAcentral is "partial 16S ribosomal RNA". It matches the Rfam family "Bacterial small subunit ribosomal RNA", at positions 338 to 795 of the family's 1533-position model. The record is from RNAcentral.
UCUACGGGAGGCAGCAGUGGGGAAUAUUGCGCAAUGGGCGAAAGCCUGACGCAGCGACGCCGCGUGAGGGAUGAAGGUCUUCGGAUCGUAAACCUCUGUCAGCAGGGAAGAACGGUCACUGUGCUAAUCAGCAGUGAAUUGACGGUACCUGCAAAGGAAGCACCGGCUAACUCCGUGCCAGCAGCCGCGGUAAUAUGGAGGGUGCGAGCGUUAAUCGGAAUUACUGGGCGUAAAGCGCUCGUAGGCGGUAUUUCAAGUCAAGGGUGAAAUCCCCGCGCUCAACGUGGGAACGGCCUUUGAAACUGGCAAACUGGAGUGUGUGAGAGGAUAGUGGAAUUCCAGGUGUAGGAGUGAAAUCCGUAGAUAUCUGGAGGAACAUCAGUGGGGAAGGCGACUAUCUGGCACAUAACUGACGCUGAGGAGCGAAAGCGUGGGUAGCAAACAGGAUUAGAUACCCCAGUAGUC